This 489-nucleotide ribosomal RNA is filed under the name uncultured bacterium. Its description in RNAcentral is "partial 16S ribosomal RNA". It matches the Rfam family "Bacterial small subunit ribosomal RNA", at positions 30 to 507 of the family's 1533-position model. The record is from RNAcentral.
UUGAACGCUGGCGGCAGGCCUAACCCCUGCAAGUCGAACGGUAACAGGAAGAAGCUUGCUUCUUUGCUGACGAGUGGCGGACGGGUGAGUAAUGUCUGGGAAACUGCCUGAUGGAGGGGGAUAACUACUGGAAACGGUAGCUAAUACCGCAUAACGUCGCAAGACCAAAGAGGGGGACCUUCGGGCCUCUUGCCAUCGGAUGUGCCCAGAUGGGAUUAGCUAGUAGGUGGGGUAACGGCUCACCUAGGCGACGAUCCCUAGCUGGUCUGAGAGGAUGACCAGCCACACUGGAACUGAGACACGGUCCAGACUCCUACGGGAGGCAGCAGUGGGGAAUAUUGCACAAUGGGCGCAAGCCUGAUGCAGCCAUGCCGCGUGUAUGAAGAAGGCCUUCGGGUUGUAAAGUACUUUCAGCGGGGAGGAAGGGAGUAAAGUUAAUACCUUUGCUCAUUGACGUUACCCGCAGAAGAAGCACCGGCUAACUCCGUG